UAAAGAGUGCGUAAUAGCUCACUGGUCAAGUGAUUCCGCGCCGACAAUGUAGCGGGGCUCAAGUACACCGCCGAAACCGUGGCAUUCAGUUUUGCUGGAUGGGUAGGGGAGCGUCGUUCACGAGCUGAAGCCAGCGGGUAACUUCUGGUGGAUUGUGGACGAGUGAGAAUGCAGGCAUGAGUAGCGAAAGACGGGUGAGAAACCCGUCCGCCGAAUGAUCAAGGGUUCCAGGGUCAAGCUAAUCUGCCCUGGGUAAGUCGGGACCUAAGGCGAGGCCGACAGGCGUAGUCGAUGGACAACGGGUUGAUAUUCCCGUACCAGUGAAGAACC
This 330-nucleotide ribosomal RNA is filed under the name Symbiodinium sp. Mp. Its description in RNAcentral is "partial Bacterial large subunit ribosomal RNA". It matches the Rfam family "Bacterial large subunit ribosomal RNA", at positions 1124 to 1456 of the family's 2925-position model. Lineage: Eukaryota; Dinophyceae; Suessiales; Symbiodiniaceae. The record is from RNAcentral.